This 253-nucleotide ribosomal RNA is filed under the name uncultured bacterium. RNAcentral's name for it is "partial 16S ribosomal RNA". It matches the Rfam family "Bacterial small subunit ribosomal RNA", at positions 524 to 776 of the family's 1533-position model. The record is from RNAcentral.
UACGAAGGGGGCUAGCGUUGCUCGGAAUCACUGGGCGUAAAGGGCGCGUAGGCUGCGGGGUAAGUCGGGUGUGAAAUCUCAGGGCUCAACCCUGAAACUGCACUCGAUACUGCUCUGCUUGAGGACUGGAGAGGAGACUGGAAUUCACGGUGUAGCAGUGAAAUGCGUAGAUAUCGUGAGGAAGACCAGUGGCGAAGGCGGGUCUCUGGACAGUUCCUGACGCUGAGGCGCGAAGGCCAGGGGAGCAAACGGG